CAGUAGCCGCGGGAAAACGGAGGGAGCUAGCGUUGUUCGGAAUUACUGGGCGUAAAGCGCACGUAGGCGGCUUUGUAAGUCAGAGGUGAAAACCUGGAGCUCAACUCCAGAACUGCCUUUGAGACUGCAUCGCUUGAAUCCAGGAGAGGUGAGUGGAAUUCCGAGUGUAGAGGUGAAAUUCGUAGAUAUUCGGAAGAACACCAGUGGCGAAGGCGGCUCACUGGACUGGUAUUGACGCUGAGGUGCGAAAGCGUGGGGAGCAAACAGGAUUAGAUACCCCCGUAGUCCCUGUCUCUUAUAC
This 301-nucleotide ribosomal RNA is filed under the name uncultured bacterium. RNAcentral's name for it is "partial 16S ribosomal RNA". It matches the Rfam family "Bacterial small subunit ribosomal RNA", at positions 509 to 807 of the family's 1533-position model. The record is from RNAcentral.